Molecule: ribosomal RNA, 501 nt
Filed under: uncultured bacterium
Lineage: Bacteria
Description: partial 16S ribosomal RNA
Rfam family: Bacterial small subunit ribosomal RNA
Source: RNAcentral
AUUGAACGCUGGCGGCAGGCUUAACACAUGCAAGUCGAGCGGAGCGAGGGUGCUUGCACCUUAGCUUAGCGGCGGACGGGUGAGUAAUGCUUAGGAAUCUGCCUAUUAGUGGGGGACAACAUUCCGAAAGGAAUGCUAAUACCGCAUACGCCCUACGGGGGAAAGCAGGGGAUCUUCGGACCUUGCGCUAAUAGAUGAGCCUAAGUCGGAUUAGCUAGUUGGUGGGGUAAAGGCCUACCAAGGCGACGAUCUGUAGCGGGUCUGAGAGGAUGAUCCGCCACACUGGGACGGAGACACGGCCCAGACUCCUACGGGAGGCAGCAGGGGGGAAUAUUGGACAAUGGGCGGAAGCCUGAUCCAGCCAUGCCGCGUGUGUGAAGAAGGCCUUUUGGUUGUAAAGCACUUUAAGCGAGGAGGAGGCUACUUAGAUUAAUACUCUAGGAUAGUGGACGUUACUCGCAGAAUAAGCACCGGCUAACUCUGUGCCAGCCGCCGCAGUAA